RNAcentral lists this long non-coding RNA (280 nucleotides) under Mytilus galloprovincialis (Mediterranean mussel). The record is from RNAcentral. Lineage: Eukaryota; Metazoa; Mollusca; Bivalvia; Mytilida; Mytilidae.
GGUUCGUGUUGCUUAUUCUUCAGUUUUCUAUGUUGUGGCAUAUGUACUAUUGUUUUUCUGUUUGUCUUAUUCGUUUUUUCAGCCAUGGCGUUGUCAGUUUAUUUUCGAUUUAUGAGUGUGUCUGUCCCUCUCGUAUAUUUCGUUCCUCAUUUAAAGUAGUCGUUUAAGGAAGUUGAAGAAACCAGAAAAAAACUUCCUGGUUAACGAAUUUUAAAGCACUUUUUGGGAUGAUAUCUCUUAUUGUUUUCAUCAAAACAAAGAUAGUAAAAUCCUGAUUAAC